Molecule: ribosomal RNA, 427 nt
Filed under: uncultured bacterium
Lineage: Bacteria
Description: bacterial SSU rRNA
Rfam family: Bacterial small subunit ribosomal RNA
Source: RNAcentral
UAGGGAAUAUUGGACAAUGGGGGCAACCCUGAUCCAGCCAUGCCGCGUGAGUGAAGAAGGCCCUCGGGUUGUAAAGCUCUUUUGUCCGGAAAGAAAAGCUUCGGGUUAAUACCCCGGGGUUCUGACGGUACCGGAAGAAUAAGCACCGGCUAACUUCGUGCCAGCAGCCGCGGUAAUACGAAGGGUGCAAGCGUUACUCGGAAUUACUGGGCGUAAAGCGUGCGUAGGUGGUUGUUUAAGUCUGAUGUGAAAGCCCUGGGCUCAACCUGGGAAAGGCAUUGGAAACUGGGCAGCUAGAGUGCGGUAGAGGGUAGUAGAAUUCCCGGUGUAGCAGUGAAAUGCGUAGAGAUCGGGAGGAACAUCAGUGGCGAAGGCGACUGCCUGGACCAGCACUGACACUGAGGCACGAAAGCGUGGGGAGCAAACA